RNAcentral lists this ribosomal RNA (431 nucleotides) under uncultured bacterium. Its description in RNAcentral is "partial 16S ribosomal RNA". It matches the Rfam family "Bacterial small subunit ribosomal RNA", at positions 29 to 507 of the family's 1533-position model. The record is from RNAcentral.
AACGAACGCUGGCGGCAGGCCUAACACAUGCAAGUCGAGCGCCCUUUCGGGGGAGCGGCGGACGGGUGAGUAACGCGUGGGAAUAUGCCCUUCUCUACGGAAUAGCCUCGGGAAACUGAGAGUAGUACCGUAUACGCCCUUUGGGGGAAAGAUUUAUCGGGGAAGGAUUAGCCCGCGUUGGAUUAGGUAGUUGGUGGGGUAAUGGCCUACCAAGCCGACGAUCCAUAGCUGGUUUGAGAGGAUGAUCAGCCACACUGGGACUGAGACACGGCCCAGACUCCUACGGGAGGCAGCAGUGGGGAAUCUUAGACAAUGGGGGCAACCCUGAUCUAGCCAUGCCGCGUGAGUGAUGAAGGCCUUAGGGUUGUAAAGCUCUUUCAGCUGGGAAGAUAAUGACGGUACCAGCAGAAGAAGCCCCGGCUAACUCCGUG